GACGAACGCUGGCGGCGUGCCUAAUACAUGCAAGUCGAACGCUGAAGGAGGAGCUUGCUCUUCUGGAUGAGUUGCGAACGGGUGAGUAACGCGUAGGUAACCUGCCUGGUAGCGGGGGAUAACUAUUGGAAACGAUAGCUAAUACCGCAUAAGAGUAGAUGUUGCAUGACAUUUACUUAAAAGGUGCAAUUGCAUCACUACCAGAUGGACCUGCGUUGUAUUAGCUAGUUGGUGGGGUAACGGCUUACCAAGGCGACGAUACAUAGCCGACCUGAGAGGGUGAUCGGCCACACUGGGACUGAGACACGGCCCAGACUCCUACGGGAGGCAGCAGUAGGGAAUCUUCGGCAAUGGACGGAAGUCUGACCGAGCAACGCCGCGUGAGUGAAGAAGGUUGUCGGAUCGUAAAGCUCUGUUGUAAGAGAAGAACGAGUGUGAGAGUGGAAAGUUCACACUGUGACGGUAUCUUACCAGAAAGGGACGGCUAACUACGUG
This 495-nucleotide ribosomal RNA is filed under the name uncultured bacterium. RNAcentral describes it as "partial 16S ribosomal RNA". It matches the Rfam family "Bacterial small subunit ribosomal RNA", at positions 28 to 507 of the family's 1533-position model. The record is from RNAcentral.